GUGACCUAUCCUUCACUCCUGCCUCCUGAGGGACAAAUGCACUUGGUUGUAACCCUGCCCUGGCCCUGGGUCCCCUUCCCCACCAUGGCCCAUGACCCUAGAGGGUCUUCUCCAUCCUUUGAGAGCCAGCUCCCCAUCCCAGGGUCCUGGACCCUGACUCCUGCCUGCCACGCUGCCUCGUACAUGGCCCUGAAUCCCAUCUUCCCGGUCACCAGCCGCGCUGCUGCUCCCCUUUUGCCGGCUCAGCGUGGCCAUCUCAUUCUCCGACUGCAUGAGGUCCCUAACCCGGGGCCUUCCCUGGAUGCAGGAGCCUGCCCACACGGCCCUGGCUUCCCAGAAUGCUCAGGCCUUCACACGGCCACCCUGCGCUUUUAGAUGUCACAUUCCCCAAAAUGCAUCUCCCGGCCUCCUGUUUGCAGGGACGCUGCACCCCCGCCCCGGACCUCGCGUGGCCAAGGAUGAAGAAGCCCUCCUCAGCGUGUGUAAUAAAACCCGCUCCCCCACCCCCGGCCCCCAGACAGAGCCGCGAGCGUGCCAGGCCCGCCGGGGAGUGUUCCUUCCACGGCUGACGCGAGGCCGAGCCAGGCCCGCAGCCAGGACCCGCCGGCAGGGACCGAGGGGUGGGCCGCGUGCAGGCAGCGGACAGCUGGGCCCGGGCCCCAGGGGCACCUGCUCCAGGCCCGAGGGGUCCCGGCUCCCCUGUCCCUCUCUGACCCGCAACAGUGGGGCGCUGUGAGAACCUCCGCAAAGGACCGAGAGACCCAAGAAAAAGACCCCACGGGUCCAGCUUGACAAGACGUGGCGGUUAAGGGGACCCGCGGUCAGAAGUGCGUCCCGGCAGUGCUACCUCCCCUGACACGUGCCUCCGAGGCCUCUGGAGCCCCCAGGAGACCCAGUGGGGUGGCGGGCUAUGCCCCUGAGGACCGUGGCGACAAGAGGUGGACGGGAAGGAGACUCAGAAGGAAGCACAGAGCUGCUACUCUAUAAAAGGAGAAUCCAACUCGAUCCACAAACACCAGUGGAGCCCUGCCCAGGGCCAAGGGCCCACCUGCCUGGCGUCUUCCAGUUGAGAAAUGAGGAGGUCUCCAGGCUUAGGCAAAAGACCCUGAGGGCAAAGCAUCCCCCGCUGGGAAUCGAAACCAUCCCCUCAAGCAAUAAGGACUGCCCUGUGUCCUGGAGACCCUCCCAAGACUGACCCCACGACAGUGAUCAACCCCACCUGCACUGCUCACCUGCAAGGACCCCUCCACCUUUGUCCCACUUUUCCUGCCAUAAACCUGGGAGUCUUUCCAGCACUCCGGAGACAGGCCUUGGGACACCCGUCCACUGGCUUCCCAGCAUCGGCUUCCCUGAAAUAAAUCCCUUUCUUAUUUCACGGUCA
Long non-coding RNA from Canis lupus familiaris (dog), 1381 nucleotides. RefSeq lists it as uncharacterized. The transcript is spliced from 3 exons. NCBI's taxonomy places the organism in Eukaryota, Metazoa, Chordata, Mammalia, Carnivora, Canidae. The record is from RefSeq and is a predicted model, not a curated record.